Molecule: ribosomal RNA, 372 nt
Filed under: uncultured organism
Description: partial 16S ribosomal RNA
Rfam family: Bacterial small subunit ribosomal RNA
Source: RNAcentral
GUAGGUGGCAAGCGUUGUCCGGAAUUAUUGGGCGUAAAGCGCGCGCAGGCGGUUUUUUAAGUCUGAUGUGAAAGCCCACGGCUCAACCGUGGAGGGUCAUUGGAAACUGGAGAACUUAAGUACAGAAGAGGAAAGCGGAAUUCCACGUGUAGCGGUGAAAUGCGUAGAGAUGUGGAGGAACACCAGUGGCGAAGGCGGCUUUCUGGUCUGUAACUGACGCUGAGGCGCGAAAGCGUGGGGAGCAAACAGGGAUUAGAUACCCUGGUAGUCCACGCCGUAAACGAUGAGUGCUAAGUGUUAGGGGGUUUCCCGCCCCUUAGUGCUGCAGCUAACGCAUUAAGCACUCCGCCUGGGGAUACGGCCGCAAGGCUG